This 429-nucleotide ribosomal RNA is filed under the name uncultured bacterium. Its description in RNAcentral is "bacterial SSU rRNA". It matches the Rfam family "Bacterial small subunit ribosomal RNA", at positions 202 to 610 of the family's 1533-position model. The record is from RNAcentral.
AAGCAGGGGACCUGAGAGGGCCUUGUGCUGGGGGAGCGGCCGAUGUCCGAUUAGCUUGUUGGUGGGGUAACGGCCUACCAAGGCUGCGAUCGGUAGCUGGUCUGAGAGGAUGAUCAGCCACACUGGGACUGAGACACGGCCCAGACUCCUACGGGAGGCAGCAGUGGGGAAUUUUGGACAAUGGGGGCAACCCUGAUCCAGCCAUGCCGCGUGCGGGAAGAAGGCCUUCGGGUUGUAAACCGCUUUUAGCCGGGAAGAAAAAGCCUACGGAUAACACCCGUGGGUUUUGACGGUACCGGCGGAAUAAGCACCGGCUAACUACGUGCCAGCAGCCGCGGUAAUACGUAGGGUGCGAGCGUUAAUCGGAAUUACUGGGGCGUAAAGCGUGCGCAGGCGGUUCGUUGUGUCGGUGGUGAAAGCCCCGGGCUU